Non-coding RNA from Paramisgurnus dabryanus, 2326 nucleotides. The record is from RefSeq and is a predicted model, not a curated record. Lineage: Eukaryota; Metazoa; Chordata; Actinopteri; Cypriniformes; Cobitidae.
CUUAGUUAAUCGUAAAUUGUUGUAAUAUGCGUAUGACUUGCGAAUGUAAUGCUCAUUUAACUUAAAUAAACCAGGCUUGAUGACGUAUGCAGCCUGCAUAUGCGACCUCCGCAGGAUGCAGCCUUCCGUUUCAGAAACGGCCUACAAGUGUGAGCGUGCGCGAGAUUCUGUCUGAAUUGAUUCUUUAGUAAUGGCAAAGCAAAAAUUUACUGUCGUGGUGAUUAAACGCAUUUUAAAGUUUAAAUUAAAACGCCUAACUUACCUUUCCAGGGGUUUCUGUUCCUGCAGUCUUUCAGGGGUGCUGGCGCGUAUGACGAUGCGGACAUGAACAGCAUACUACAGUAUACCGCCACCUACUGUACUGUAGUACAAUAACGUGUAGGAUUGAAUACUGUGCCAAACGCAGUAAAAAAAAAAGCCAUUUAAUUCAUUGUAAAAACAAUGGACAUGCCAGUUCAAGUAACUUGUGGGCUAAAUCACCAAAAUAAGUUUGUAGAUGUGGUUCAAUUAUUUUUAAUGUGCAGCAUAAUGAAUCAGCCUGAAUGCAUGUAGCCUGUGAACAUAUUGUUUAGACUUUAUUUUUAAACCUUUAUCUGGUGUAUGGUUAAACCUUAUGAUGGUAGCAAUUGAAUACAAAUCUUAAACUGAAUCAAAUCUCUUAUAAUAAUACAUAAAAUCUCUGGGACGGUUGGGGGUACAUCAGGGUAACAUUUAAGCAGCUUAAUUUUUUUAAUUCUUUUAUAUAUUUUGAUGUGUAUAUAUAUAUAUUUACUUUCUUUAUUUUGUUUUCUCAGCUUUUAAACAUCUAAACAUGUCCUCCAAAAAGGUUUCCUGUGCUGUUUUGCUCCAUUUUACUGAACAAAAUAAGGCUGAGGUAGCACCAUCCUUGUGGUUAGAGUGAAAGAAUGUGGGUAUUGAGACCAAAAUAAACAAUGUGCCAUUCUGGACAAACAGCUGUGGACAAUAUGCAGUCAGAGUAGCCCAUUUUCUCACACAGACCUGAGGAUAAGAUUUCCAGUUUAAAAGUGAAGAAAAUGAAUCAUUAUUAACAGCAAAUAGGAGUAUUUCUCAGCUGAAAAGCCAGGUGAAACUAUAAGGUCACUAUGAUUCACUUUCAUAUUAUCAUUCUUUUCAGAUUUUUUUCCCUGUGUUUUUUUUGUUAGAUGAGGAGCAACCAGUAAGAAAAAGCAAAAAGAUGUUUUGAUGUUGCCUGAGGCACCUUAUUUUCCAUUUCAUGCACAAUCACAAAUGCAGCACAUCAAUCAAUUUCUUCCAACCAGCGAAUCAAGAAAUCUUGGAGUGGAGAAUCAUUUUGAAAGUAGACCAAAUCCAGGACAACAUCACAACAGUGGUCGGAAAAAUGCAGCAAGCCAAGCUGACUUUCAAAAGAUGAUUCGUUAUCUGUUUCUUCAGAGGGGAGGCAGUUUGGGAGAUGGGAAUUAGGAGGAUGCUACAGUUACACAGGGCAAAUUUCAGCAGCUCAGUUUCAAACUUGCAACUAACAUUGAGUUAAACUGGUCAGGGUGGAAGACCAGCUGACGUACCAGUUUUGCCAGGUUAAAGGACCAGCUUAAACCAGCUAAGACAGCCAACCAACUUAGCCAAGGUGGUAUAUGCUGGUGGGUCAGCUGGUCUUCCCGCCUGACCAGCUACAAAGUGUCCAAAACCUCUGUAAAACAAUCCUGCUACACCAGCCUGACCAGCUGAAACCAUACUGAGUUAGAAGACCACGGAAAUAUUUGACAUCGGAGUCCAGCAGACAGCCAGAGACACGCACACACACGCGGCUGAAGCGCGUUUGACUGACGCGUACGGGAGAUCCGGCACGCGCACGGGAGCUCGCGCACGCUCACACAAACACGGAGCACAGGAUAAUUACAACUGUUUAAUUAAAAUAAAAGAACUUUGUGGUAUACAAUGUUUAGCGUGUCUGAUUUCAUUGGUUAGCAAGGAAAUAAAACGACGUGCUGAGGACUUUAGGCGAACGUCCCCUAAAAGUCCCGAAAGUCCGCUGACCGUCCCGCGAACGUCCUCGCAAAAGUCCGGAGGACGUCCUCGCGGAAGUCCGCUCGACGUAACGGGAACCAUACACGAUGACGUUCGGGGGACGUUCGCCUAAAGUGCUUAGCAUGUUAUUUAGCUUACAAAAAAGGUCCCCAUGACGUCCCCUAAAAGUCAAUAAAGUCCCCAAAGCGUCAUUUUGAACGUCCGGAAGACGUUUUUGCGGACGUUCGCAGGACGUCAAAAGAACCCUACACGAUAACGUCCGGGGGACGUUCGCAGAUGCCAUUUAGGGGACGUCCUGGGGACCUUUUUUUGUUUGCUG